RNAcentral lists this small nuclear RNA (161 nucleotides) under Sus scrofa (pig). Its description in RNAcentral is "U1 spliceosomal RNA (ENSSSCG00070010811.1)". It matches the Rfam family "U1 spliceosomal RNA". Rfam says of the family: U1 is a small nuclear RNA (snRNA) component of the spliceosome (involved in pre-mRNA splicing). Its 5' end forms complementary base pairs with the 5' splice junction, thus defining the 5' donor site of an intron. There are significant differences in sequence and secondary structure between metazoan and yeast U1 snRNAs, the latter being much longer (568 nucleotides as compared to 164 nucleotides in human). The record is from RNAcentral. Lineage: Eukaryota; Metazoa; Chordata; Mammalia; Artiodactyla; Suidae.
AUACUUACCUGGCAGGGGAGAUACCAUGAUCACGAAGGUGGUUUUCCCAGGGCGAGGCUUAUCCAUUGCACUCCGGAUGUGCUGACCCCUGCGAUUUCCCAAAUGUGGGAAACUCGACUGCAUAAUUUGUGGAGUGGGGACUGCGUUCGCGCUUUCCCUGA